Molecule: ribosomal RNA, 497 nt
Filed under: uncultured bacterium
Lineage: Bacteria
Description: partial 16S ribosomal RNA
Rfam family: Bacterial small subunit ribosomal RNA
Source: RNAcentral
GAUGAACGCUGGCGGCGUGCCUAAUACAUGCAAGUCGAGCGAACAGACGAGGAGCUUGCUCCUCUGACGUUAGCGGCGGACGGGUGAGUAACACGUGGAUAACCUACCUAUAAGACUGGGUUAACUUCGGGAAACCGGAGCUAAUACCGGAUAAUAUAUUGAACCGCAUGGUUCAAUAGUGAAAGACGGUUUUGCUGUCACUUAUAGAUGUAUCCGCGCCGCAUUAGCUAGUUGGUAAGGUAACGGCUUACCAAGGCAACGAUGCGUAGCCGACCUGAGAGGGUGAUCGGCCCCACUGGAACUGAGACACGGUCCAGACUCCUACGGGAGGCAGCAGUAGGGAAUCUUCCGCAAUGGGCGAAAGCCUGACGGAGCAACGCCGCGUGAGUGAUGAAGGUCUUCGGAUCGUAAAACUCUGUUAUUAGGGAAGAACAAAUGUGUAAGUAACUAUGCACGUCUUGACGGUACCUAAUCAGAAAGCCACGGCUAACUACGUG